CCUACGGGAGUCAGCAGUGAGGAAUAUUGGUCAAUGGGCGCGAGCCUGAACCAGCCAAGUCGCGUGAGGGAUGACGGUCCUAUGGAUUGUAAACCUCUUUUGUCGGGGAGCAAGGCCCGCCACGUGUGGCGGGAAGGAGAGUACCCGAAGAAAAAGCAUCGGCUAACUCCGUGCCAGCAGCCGCGGUAAUACGGAGGAUGCGAGCGUUAUCCGGAUUUAUUGGGUUUAAAGGGUGCGUAGGCGGAAGGUUAAGUCAGCGGUAAAAUGUCGGUGCUCAACACCGGCCGGCCGUUGAAACUGGUCUUCUUGAGUGAGCGAGAAGUAUGCGGAAUGCGUGGUGUAGCGGUGAAAUGCAUAGAUAUCACGCAGAACUCCGAUUGCGAAGGCAGCAUACCGGCGCUCAACUGACGCUGAGGCACGAAAGCGUGGGGAUCGAACAGGAUUAGAUACCCGUGUAGUC
This 460-nucleotide ribosomal RNA is filed under the name uncultured bacterium. Its description in RNAcentral is "partial 16S ribosomal RNA". It matches the Rfam family "Bacterial small subunit ribosomal RNA", at positions 338 to 795 of the family's 1533-position model. The record is from RNAcentral.